RNAcentral lists this ribosomal RNA (433 nucleotides) under uncultured bacterium. RNAcentral describes it as "partial 16S ribosomal RNA". It matches the Rfam family "Bacterial small subunit ribosomal RNA", at positions 29 to 507 of the family's 1533-position model. The record is from RNAcentral.
AACGAACGCUGGCGGCAUGCCUAACACAUGCAAGUCGAACGAGACCUUCGGGUCUAGUGGCGCACGGGUGCGUAACGCGUGGGAACCUGCCCUUAGGUUCGGAAUAACUCCCCGAAAGGGGUGCUAAUACCGGAUAAUGUCUUCGGACCAAAGAUUUAUCGCCUUUGGAUGGGCCCGCGUUGGAUUAGCUAGUUGGUAGGGUAAAAGCCUACCAAGGCGACGAUCCAUAGCUGGUCUGAGAGGAUGAUCAGCCACACUGGGACUGAGACACGGCCCAGACUCCUACGGGAGGCAGCAGUGGGGAAUAUUGGACAAUGGGCGAAAGCCUGAUCCGGCAAUGACGCGUGAGUGAUGAAGGCCUUAGGGUUGUAAAGCUCUUUUACCCGGGAUGAUAAUGACAGUACCGGGAGAAUAAGCUCCGGCUAACUCCGUG